GGGUGGCAGCAGUGGGGAAUAUUGGACAAUGGGGGCAACCCUGAUCCAGCCAUGCCGCGUGAGUGAUGAAGGCCUUAGGGUUGUAAAGCUCUUUCACCGGUGAAGAUAAUGACGGUAACCGGAGAAGAAGCCCCGGCUAACUUCGUGCCAGCAGCCGCGGUAAUACGAAGGGGGCUAGCGUUGUUCGGAUUUACUGGGCGUAAAGCGCACGUAGGCGGAUAUUUAAGUCAGAGGUGAAAUCCCAGGGCUCAACCCUGGAACUGCCUUUGAUACUGGGUAUCUUGAGUAUGGAAGAGGUGAGUGGAAUUCCGAGUGUAGAGGUGAAAUUCGUAGAUAUUCGGAGGAACACCAGUGGCGAAGGCGGCUCACUGGUCCAUUACUGACGCUGAGGUGCGAAAGCGUGGGGAGCAAACAGGAUUAGAUACCCCAG
Molecule: ribosomal RNA, 430 nt
Filed under: uncultured bacterium
Lineage: Bacteria
Description: bacterial SSU rRNA
Rfam family: Bacterial small subunit ribosomal RNA
Source: RNAcentral